RNAcentral lists this ribosomal RNA (512 nucleotides) under uncultured bacterium. Its description in RNAcentral is "partial 16S ribosomal RNA". It matches the Rfam family "Bacterial small subunit ribosomal RNA", at positions 28 to 506 of the family's 1533-position model. The record is from RNAcentral.
GACGAACGCUGGCGGCGUGCUUAACACAUGCAAGUCGAACGAAAAGAGGGAAAGAGCUUGCUCUUUCCGGAAUUGAGUGGCAAACGGGUGAGUAACACGUAAACAACCUGCCUUCAGGAUGGGGACAACAGACGGAAACGACUGCUAAUACCGAAUAAGUUCCAAGGGCCGCAUGGCCCAUGGAAGAAAAGGUGGCCUCUACCUGUAAGCUAUCGCCUGAAGAGGGGUUUGCGUCUGAUUAGCUGGUUGGAGGGGUAACGGCCCACCAAGGCGACGAUCAGUAGCCGGUCGGAGGGAGGGAACGGCCCCCCUGGAACGGGACCCCGGUCCCAACUCCUACGGGAGGCAGCGGGGGGGACUCUUCCGCAAUGGGGGAAAGCCUGGCGGGGCAACCCCGGGUGAGUGAUGGCGGCCUUCGGGUUGAAAAACUCUGGGACCCGGGAAGAAAAGGCAGGGUGCGAAAAACAAACUGCAUGGACGGUACCGGAAAAGCAAGCCACGGCUAACUACGU